UGGCAUACACAAUAUGCCAGGCAAGAUAUAAUAAUAAAUGCCGAAAAACUUUAAAAAUCAUUUAUUUCUGGUUCAUUGUUUGGACAUGGAAAAUAAAGUACUUUGCUCUUCUCUUUGGUAAGUCAGAAAACCUAAAACCAGGAAAUGAUACACAAUAUCAAAUGCCACAAGAUUGACAACAAUUAGUGAACUAAUAGUGCGACAAAUACUAGUAAGUAAAUUGUUGGACAAAAGUUAUUUGUAUA
Molecule: unclassified non-coding RNA, 245 nt
Filed under: Hevea brasiliensis (rubber tree)
Lineage: Eukaryota; Viridiplantae; Streptophyta; Magnoliopsida; Malpighiales; Euphorbiaceae
Source: RNAcentral